AACGAACGCUGGCGGCAUGCCUAACACAUGCAAGUCGAACGAUCCCUUCGGGGAUAGUGGCGCACGGGUGCGUAACGCGUGGGAACCUGCCCUUAGGUUCGGAAUAACUCAGAGAAAUUUGAGCUAAUACCGGAUAAUGUCUUCGGACCAAAGAUUUAUCGCCUUUGGAUGGGCCCGCGUUGGAUUAGCUAGUUGGUGGGGUAAAGGCCUACCAAGGCGACGAUCCAUAGCUGGUCUGAGAGGAUGAUCAGCCACACUGGGACUGAGACACGGCCCAGACUCCUACGGGAGGCAGCAGUGGGGAAUAUUGGACAAUGGGCGAAAGCCUGAUCCAGCAAUGCCGCGUGAGUGAUGAAGGCCUUAGGGUUGUAAAGCUCUUUUACUCGGGAUGAUAAUGACAGUACCGGGAGAAUAAGCCCCGGCUAACUCCGUG
RNAcentral lists this ribosomal RNA (433 nucleotides) under uncultured bacterium. RNAcentral describes it as "partial 16S ribosomal RNA". It matches the Rfam family "Bacterial small subunit ribosomal RNA", at positions 29 to 507 of the family's 1533-position model. The record is from RNAcentral.